CAGAGAAGACCUUUGCGUCUCGGCUCUGCCAACCCCGCGAACCUAUACCUACAAUACUGCCGUUGCCUCGGCGGGCAGCGCCUCCGGGCGCCCCGCCGCAGGCACGGCGGACCCAAACGCUCAAAAGCUCCGCGCUCUCUGAACAAAAACUUAAACGAGUAA
This 162-nucleotide unclassified non-coding RNA is filed under the name uncultured fungus. RNAcentral describes it as "sequence contains ITS1, 5.8S rRNA gene". The record is from RNAcentral. Lineage: Eukaryota; Fungi.